CCUACGGGCGGCAGCAGUGAGGAAUAUUGGUCAAUGGACGAGAGUCUGAACCAGCCAAGUAGCGUGAAGGAUGACUGCCCUAUGGGUUGUAAACUUCUUUUAUAUGGGAAUAAAAUGUUCCACGUGUGGGAUAUUGUAUGUACCAUAUGAAUAAGGAUCGGCUAACUCCGUGCCAGCAGCCGCGGUAAUACGGAGGAUCCGAGCGUUAUCCGGAUUGAUUGGGUUUAAAGGGAGCGUAGGGGGAUUGUUAAGUCAGUUGUGAAAGUUUGCGGCUUAACCGUAAAAUUGCAGUUGAUACUGGCAGUCUUGAGUACAGUAGAGGGGGGCGGAAUUCGUCGUGUAGCGGUGAAAUGCUUAGAUAUCACGAAGAACUCCGAUUGCGAAGGCAGUUCCUUGGACUGCAACUGACACUGAGGCUCGAAAGUGUGGGUAUCAAACAGGAUUAGAUACCCCAGUAGUC
RNAcentral lists this ribosomal RNA (460 nucleotides) under uncultured bacterium. RNAcentral describes it as "partial 16S ribosomal RNA". It matches the Rfam family "Bacterial small subunit ribosomal RNA", at positions 338 to 795 of the family's 1533-position model. The record is from RNAcentral.